GACAGGGCGAAAGCUGAUCUAUCAUACCGCGUGUGUGAAGAAGGCCUGAGGGUUGUAAAGCACUUUCAAUAGGAAGGAAUACCUAUCGGUUAAUACCCGGUAGACUGACAUUACCUAUACAAGAAGCACCGGCUAACUCCGUGCCAGCAGCCGCGGUAAUACGGAGGGUGCAAGCGUUAAUCGGAAUUACUGGGCGUAAAGCGUGCGUAGGCGGUUAUUUAAGUCAGAUGUGAAAGCCCUGGGCUUAACCUGGGAACUGCAUUUGAUACUGAAUGACUAGAGUUGAGUAGAGGAGAGUGGAAUUUCAGGUGUAGCGGUGAAAUGCGUAGAGAUCUGAAGGAACACCAGUGGCGAAGGCGGCUCUCUGGACUCAAACUGACGCUGAGGUACGAAAGCGUGGGUAGCAAACGGGAUUAGAUACCCUGGUAGUCCACGCCGUAAACGAUGUCAACUAACCGUUGGGUUCUUUAAGAACUUAGUGGUGGAGCUAACGUAUUAAGUUGACCGCCUGGGGAGUACGGCCGCAAGGCUAAAACUCAAAUGAAUUGACGGGGGCCCGCACAAGCGGUGGAGCAUGUGGUUUAAUUCGAUGCAACGCGAAGAACCUUACCUACCCUUG
RNAcentral lists this ribosomal RNA (619 nucleotides) under uncultured bacterium. Its description in RNAcentral is "bacterial SSU rRNA". It matches the Rfam family "Bacterial small subunit ribosomal RNA", at positions 367 to 983 of the family's 1533-position model. The record is from RNAcentral.